RNAcentral lists this ribosomal RNA (496 nucleotides) under uncultured bacterium. RNAcentral describes it as "partial 16S ribosomal RNA". It matches the Rfam family "Bacterial small subunit ribosomal RNA", at positions 28 to 506 of the family's 1533-position model. The record is from RNAcentral.
GAUGAACGCUGGCGGCGUGCCUAAUACAUGCAAGUCGAGCGAACGGACGAGAAGCUUGCUUCUCUGAUGUUAGCGGCGGACGGGUGAGUAACACGUGGAUAACCUACCUAUAAGACUGGGAUAACUUCGGGAAACCGGAGCUAAUACCGGAUGAUAUUUUGAACCGCAUGGUUCAAAAGUGAAAGACGGUCUUGCUGUCACUUAUAGAUGGAUCCGCGCUGCAUUAGCUAGUUGGUAAGGUAACGGCUUACCAAGGCAACGAUGCAUAGCCGACCUGAGAGGGUGCUCGGCCACACUGGAACGGAGACCGGGUCCAAACCCCUAGGGGGGGCAGCAGUGGGGAAUCUUCCGCAAUGGGCGAAAGCCUGACGGAGCAACGCCGGGGGGGGGAUGAAGGGCUUGGGUUCGUAAAACUCUGUUAUUGGGGAAAAAAAAAUGUGAAAGUAACUGUGCCCAUUUUGACGGUCCCAAAGCAAAAAGCCCCGGCAAACUACGU